This 351-nucleotide unclassified non-coding RNA is filed under the name soil metagenome. Its description in RNAcentral is "partial contains 5.8S ribosomal RNA, internal transcribed spacer 2, and large subunit ribosomal RNA". The stretch from base 2 to 119 matches the Rfam family "5.8S ribosomal RNA", at positions 37 to 154 of the family's 154-position model. The record is from RNAcentral.
GUGAAGAACGUAGCGAAAUGCGAUAAGUAAUGUGAAUUGCAGAAUUCAGUGAAUCAUCGAAUCUUUGAACGCACAUUGCGCCCGCCAGUAUUCUGGCGGGCAUGCCUGUUCGAGCGUCAUUACAACCCUCAGGCCCCCGGGCCUGGCGUUGGGGAUCGGCGGAGCCCCCCGUGGGCACACGCCGUCCCCCAAAUGCAGUGGCGGUCCCGCCGCAGCUUCCAUCGCGUAGUAGCUAACACCUCGCGACUGGAGAGAGGCGCGGCCACGCCGUAAAACACCCAACUCUUCUGAAGUUGACCUCGAAUCAGGUAGGAAUACCCGCUGAACUUAAGCAUAUCAAUAAGCGGAGGA